RNAcentral lists this small nuclear RNA (23 nucleotides) under Arabidopsis thaliana (thale cress). RNAcentral describes it as "snRNA_18957". The record is from RNAcentral. Lineage: Eukaryota; Viridiplantae; Streptophyta; Magnoliopsida; Brassicales; Brassicaceae.
UUCUUUAUUAGAAAUUUAGGAUA